GACGAACGCUGGCGGCGUGCCUAAUACAUGCAAGUCGAACGCAGUGGGGACGGGUGAGUAACACGUGGGUAACCUCCCAUCAGAGGGGAUAACACUUGGAAACAGGUGCUAAACCGAUACUGAUGGAUGGACCCGCGGUGCAUUAGCUAGUUGGUGGGGUAAAGGCUCACCAGGGCCACGAUGCAUAGCUGACCUGAGAGGGUGAUCGGCCACACUGGGACUGAGACACGGCCCAGCAUCCUACGGGAGGCAGCAGUAGGGAAGCUUCGGCAAUGGACGAAAGUCUGACUGAGCCACGCAGCGUGAGUGAAGAAGGUUUUCGGAUCGUAAAGCACUUUUGUUAGAGAAGCGUUAUCUAACCAGAAAGCCACGGCUAACUACGUGCCAGCAGCCGCGGUAAUAC
This 403-nucleotide ribosomal RNA is filed under the name uncultured bacterium. Its description in RNAcentral is "partial 16S ribosomal RNA". It matches the Rfam family "Bacterial small subunit ribosomal RNA", at positions 28 to 526 of the family's 1533-position model. The record is from RNAcentral.